The sequence is a small nucleolar RNA, 85 nucleotides long. Its record names the gene SNORD79. It matches the Rfam family "Small nucleolar RNA SNORD79". From Rfam's summary of the family: snoRNA U79 or Z22 is found in intron 7 of the gas5 gene in humans and is also present in mice. U79 is a member of the C/D class of snoRNA which contain C (UGAUGA) and D (CUGA) box motifs. The record is from Ensembl.
UACUGUUAGUGAUGAUUUUUGAAAUUAAAAACAGAUGGGAAUCUCUCUGAAAAAGAGUGAAGAUUUCUUAAACGCUGAAACAGUA